UUCUAAAAUUUAGCCUCAUGGUCUCAAAAUCCACGUUUCCUCUUCAUGCACAACAGGAAGGCCCAGUCCCUGCACCACGUUGCAUGUGCAGGAUCAAUGAGACUGUUGGGAUCAUUGGCCUGAUCCUUCUAGGGAACACAGAGAGUCACAUGAGGUGUUUCUUCCCUGCUUGGAUGGGAAUUCAGAAAUGAGAUAUCAUGGCACAUUUGAAGCCUAAAUGCAUCCAGGAAUCAUCAAAGCUGUUCUGCCUGUGGGGUGAACACUUCCUCUAAUCUCAAUUUUGCUUUCUAAAUGUAAGGAAUGGACUGCUGGUGUCCACAGCCAUUCACUCCAAGACAGAAGUUUAAUAUCAACCAUCCAUUUCUGCCUGGCUGACCUGGAGCUGACACAGUGCUGAGAUCUCACCCAGCUCCAGUCCUGCCCUGAAUCUCACCCACAAAUCCACAGGGGUUUCUUCCUGCAAACAUGGAAUCUGAAAAAAAACCAUGUGGAGCAAAACAUGGAGAUAAAGAACGGGAAAAUGGAGUUCCAGCAGAGCGGAGAUUGGAACAAAAGGGGCAAGUUUCCAAGGCUCUAUUUUCCCCCAGAUUGAUGUUCCCGACUCUCCUGCCUCACCUGCCGCCUCACAGCUACAUGUGCAGGAGGCAUUGACGUAAAAAGCUGAUUUAUUGCCUAAACCCCACCAUUGUGCACUCUGUCAUUUGCAGCGCUUGGAUUUAUCACCACAUCCAGACCAAAACACUCGUGAUUCAUCAGCAAAGGCACCAGGCUGGAGAGCGGCGUGGGAGAGAGCCUGGCUUCAUCGCUUUGGAUCUGCCUCUGCUGCAGCCCUGAGACAGGAUUGCAGCUCCCAGGGUGGUGUGUGCUGUAAGGCAGCACCCAAAUCACCGUGGGUGCCAUGAAGAGCCUUGCCCACCUUUCCCUUGGGUCCAUCCCAAGUUUUCCCUCUCUGUUGCUGGGCUAAGCCCCAGUGUCCACGGCGUUCCAGAUGUUUGCUCCCAGGAGAAAGAGGAGAAAGAGGGUUUCCUCAAGAUGCUUAAGGCAUCCUCUGGAUGUGGGUGCAGGUUUUUGAGCCAAGAACACAGCUCAGCUCAACUUGAGUAGGGGAUUUUAGUGAGUUUAAUCCGUUUUAUACAUGCUCACUCAAUUGGCUAAUUACUGCUAAUUACACAGGCUUGAACUCUGGUCACGCUCUCUUGGAGACCUGGGAGAAGCUGCUCCUAUGUGCCCAGGAGAGCUGGCAUGGGACCACAUCUGCUGCCACAAGACAGCUGUGACCAAGGCAGCACUCACAGAAUGGCCUGGACACCAGAAUCUGAGCAAUGCUGGUGGCAGAGGAUGGGUUCCAAGGGGAUGCCAGGGCAGAGAUGCCCCAGCAGCUCACAGCAAUGUGCCCAAAAUGCGUGGACAUACCAGAAGAGAAUCCAGGGAUCAAAGGUGAUUCCAGCCACAGAUCCCUCCGAAUCCUUUCACACCAAUCUUGGCGCAGUGUUACGUAAGAGCAGCCCAGCUCCUGAAAAUCUGCCAGGCUGGCGAGCAGAGAGCAGCAAGGAGGAGGUGAGAAUAGAAACAAAUAAAUAAGAAUACCUGGCAGAUACCUCUACAAUCAAUCAUGUUUCCAAAUGCUGCAUAUGAGCAGAAAUCCCAGGUGUCCAAGAGCUGCCAAUGGGAUUGUUCUGGAAUUUCAGGAGUGUAAGGGAAAACAAAAUCUGGAUCAGCAAAGCAACUGCCCUCUGGACACUUGUUACCUGUCCCUGGGAAGGCUUUGAUGCACCGGCCUCCAAGCACCUGCAGAUGGGAUUUGCCACAUAUUUCAUCUGCAUUUCCAUGGGAAAAGGCAUGAAUGAAUGAAUUAGGGAUCUCUGGGGUGCAUGGAAAUUCUCUUUCUUGCUCCUGCAUUUCGUGUUCAGUGGUGCGUCUCCCACUGGCAGAGGCACAGCAGCUGUUUGACCAAUAGCACAUCACCAGACUUUCAUCCUAUUUCCACUUUCCUGCUCCCCUGACAGCCCUCCUGAUGCUGCUUUUUCAUGGGUUUUAAUUAGAGAAGCAGCUCAGCCAUGAAGCUGGGCUGAGAUCAGAGGCCGUGUCCCAGGCUGCAAACGUGCAUCUCUGGCCAGUGCAAUGAGGAACGUCCACGAUGAGCUGCCUUCGAGCCACGUGAGGCUGCAGCUGCACAGAAAUGUCCCACUUUGAGCAGCAAAGUGGGACUUUGAGUGGCUAUUCCUUGUUUUGCAUGGUCUGCUCACACCCCUCUGUGCCACCACAUCCAGGUGAGCUGUGCUGAGAGUCGCUGACGCUGUGAAGGGGAAGUUGUGCUCACCCCACCACAAACCAGCUGAAAAAGGGGCAAAAACCCCUUUGCUGGGUGUUCAGCACUGGCUGCUGUCUGUGUUUUUCCCUUUUCCCUCUGAGAAGAGCUCAGCUGAGUCCUGUGAAAGCCCAUAAGAGCUUUCCAGCUGGUUAUGCAACUCCCUUUGGCCCAGCAAAGGGAUUCCUGAGGAAGAGGGGAAGACGGGGCUCCUCUCGGUGCCAAAGCAGCGUCAACUGAUCCGCCACGGCUGCUCUCCACUUAAAGUAGGACAAAGCCUCCUCUGGAGCUGUUUCUCCUCUUUCUCCAAGAAGCAGAGCAGAUGAUGGCCAUGCUUUGCCCAGGGAUGCUCAGCCAUGGACAGGACACAUCAAAAUGGUUCUUGUGCCUCAUCUCAGAGCUUUAAACGUCAGAUUCGACCGAGGAAUUCAUCAGGAGUAUGGAAUAUGAUGGGUUUUCCUAAUCCAAAGUGCUGCACCAGGAAAAAUCCUAUAGUGGUCACUGCUAUAUUAGGAAAAAAGGGACUUAUGACAUUUUUAUAUGAGAAGGAUGUUAUUGGUAGCAUUUUUCUGAGUAUAAACCUUCCAAAACUCACCAAUAGAAUAUUUUUCCAUUUUGAAAGUAUCUUUCACCAGAAAAGCAUGAAGUACAACAACUUCUAAUAAAUAAAUUUUUAAAAACCCACUAGGAGGAGAGGAAUGGCAAGUCAUAUUUCUCCCAUGUCAAAAUUACCUGCCUCAAAAUUUUCUGAGCUGAAUUUUUUUUACCUUUGGUAUCAAAAAUGGGAUUUUUAACAAGCUUGAGAUGGACUUGCCAUUGGUGUUGACAGCUUUUGGGGGAUGGUUUCAGAUGGAGACCGGUUGUUAAGACUGGGAAACCAUCAGCUUGGUGGAAAUCAUGGCCUGGCUCUGGUAUGCAGAGUACACCCGUGAGAAGAGUGUAAGGAAGUCUCCAGCAGGAAUCCUGCUGCUGGCUGGCUGGGAAUGAGGGCUCAUCCAGUUUCUGCACAAGAUUUGAGUCCUUGGAGAGCCCCAAGGCAAUGCUGGAAGCUCAGGAGCAGCUGCCAGCCCCGAGUUCCUCGCCAGGUUCCACACAGGAACGUGCAGGAUCCACAAGUUUUGUUGCUGGAGGGAGAUCGUGGCACUGUGUGUUUUGUAAAUAAAACAUGACACUAAGAAAACUCCUGCCUGUGUGUCAUCAGCUCCCUUUGGAACAGGACACAGACCCUUCCAUCUCCAGAUCAGCCUCACAGCUUGCUCCAGCUGCUUCUCUUUUGUCUGACAAAUCAGUGCCACCCACCCCCAAAACCCUGCUGAAAUUUGGGGGUUAGCAAAAUAUUUUAGGCAUGAAAAGCAAGAGUGUGCAUGAGGCUUUAUCUCAAUUGUAACACCAGGCAAGCUGGGUGCAAACAGUAGGAGUUAUGAAAACAUUGGAAUCCUGGCUGUGGAGCGAGUUAGGAAAAAUAACACCUGACCUACAAGUCACCCAUUCUUGUUUUAGCAGUGUUUGGAGAGCCCGUGUAGAUCUUUGUUUGAAAUGUACACAAACACACUGAAUUUCAUGGGCUUAGCAAAUAUGUAAUCUAAAAGUGUGGGUGCCUCACAUUUCUCAGGAUCCGCCUACAAACAGGGAUAGAUCAGGGAAAUUUAAUUAUUUUUUGCACAUAUAUACACAUGUAUGUUUGUGUACAUGGUGUAAAUAUGUUAUUAUAUUGUAUUCACAGUAUGUGUUUAUAUAUAUGUACAGAAAAAUACUGAAGUCUUAUUUUUCUCUAUAUGUAGGUGAGUAUUAUAUGUAUAAAUUAUAUAUUCCUAAACUUAACCAGAUUAUGAGCAACAAUACAAUAAUAAAGCAACAUUUGCAAGGGAGAGCGAGGACAAAUCAGUGGGGAAAGGUGUUUUACACAGAGGUUUCCAAAGAAUGAGACCAAAGUGGUGUUUUGUGGAAUUUUAAGGGGGCAGAGGAGGAAAAGACCCAGAGGUCUCAGAGCCAUGAGCUGUGAGUGAUUUGUACUGAACAAAUCGUUCAUCACCAUGUAUUUAGCUAGUAGGAAAGUAGGAAAAGAAUUGUUGACAAAUUGAAAGAAGGGGUGGAGUUGUUGGUAUAUGAAGCAUGAGCUUCAAAAUUAUGGAGUGUUUCAAGCCCAUGUGCAGAAUUUAAGGACAAAGGGAUUUCCCUGGCUGUUCCCUCUCUGGAAAUAAAUCUGUUCCUUCUCUAGAAAUAAAUCAUUGUUGUGAGCAACACCGGAGAACAAAACAGCUUCAUGAUACUUAUAAUGCCUUGGUUGGGUCCCUUUUCUAAUCAGGGUGUGGGGCAAGUCUGGUUAUUUCCUGCAGAGAAAAGCUACCUUAUUAAAAAGAUAAUUUUGUGGUGGCAUUUUAAUAUAACUCUGGCUCUCCAUGGAGUUCACUGAUAAGGAAGGGUGCUUUUUUUUUAUGAUAAUGAGAAAGACCCUGUGCAAAAAUCCAGCCUGCUCCGAACAGGACACCAAGCAGCUGCUGUUGAGAUUUAGAGCUGGAACAAGACGAGUUGGUUAUAAAGGUGAUGAUGAGGCCUUUACAAAUUCAACUUUAUCUGUCAUUUCUUUCCUCCCGGCUACACCUCUUUUUACAAGAAUGAUCAGUGCUCUGGACCUUGCCUGAUAUGGUUCAGCAAGUGAGACAGAUUCUUUGCCCUGACCUUGUUUUGAAGGGCUAGUUCUGCCCUUUCAGAAGUAAGGAGUUUCCAGGUGAGUUCCAAAGUACAUUGUCUGGGUUGACCUGGGUUGCUAAGCUCUUCCCCUCCAUCCCAUUUCCCAGAGAGUUAACAGGAGUGAAAAGUACUCAACACCCCACUAAAGGUGCUCAGAUCCCCAGAGAACUUGUCCCUGGAGAGGAAAUAACAGCUGAAGGGUGAGAUGAGAUGAAGAUAUUUCCAGAAAUGAAAACAAGGCCAGGAAGGUUCCUCUGGAAACACAGGACAAAUUUUCCUUGUUAAAUAAUUCAGCUAAGUCCAAGAGAACGACUCGCCCUGCAGAAUUAGGAAGGAUUUGAAAGAGAAAGAAAGUAUUCGGUGCAAGAGCCGGAGGGGCCGUUCCCCGAGAAGGUGCAGCACAAAAAUAGAUGUAAAUCUGCAAAGGCUGUCACGUUGAAGAAAAUCUGAAGUAACUCUAUUGUUUUCCAUGGGGUUACUUUGGGUUUACACCAGCGUGACUAAGAUUAGCAUAUCAGCUUGGGCGUGCUCCAUACGAUAAGUGUUCGCUCGGGGAAGUGGAGUGUUGAGGCUGCUCUUGCAAGGGGCCUGAGCCUGUGUUUCAGGUAGACUCUGCAUCCUCUUAUCUCCUUCCUCCCGCAGACCUGAGGUGUGCUGAGACUGCAAGUCCUUUGCUUUAUCACCCGCACGAACCCGAACUCUGCUCCGGCCCCACCACGGCAAUGAGCUGCAAUGAAAAUUGUAUAACUGCUGGCAAGGAGGAACCCGACAGGAUAGUGGGAGCAAUCCACCCAGGGAAGGGAGGGGAGGAGGAAAGAGCUCGACACAGCCAGCCCUGCAAAUUAAAGUAGGAGUAAAUAAAGCAAUUAAACAAUAUUCAACUCGAGGUACAAACUGAACGGUGGGGAAGGCUCGCACAGCCUGUCUCCUGGACAAACACCAUCCAGUUUUAUGAGCACAACCUCAUUUAAGUGUUUGUAACCAAGCUGUAGCUUCAUAUAGAAUAAAAUAAUACAAGUGUGAAAUAAACAGCGAGAUGCUUUUGAACGAGGAGUUUCAUUCCUUCAUCUGCAAGGACUUGAAAGUGCUGUACGUCUGUUUCUUGAAGGAUUUGCAGGUGCAGAGCCACGUGUCUGAAAGUGCUCAGGACCUGAGGAGCUGCUCUGGACACCUUGCCUCAACCCGUGAGGUGUGAGGUUAAGGACAUCACGGCUGUGCUCCCCCAUCCAUGAAGUGGCCCCAAAAUCCCACCUGAAGCGGCCCCAAAAUCCCACCUGAAGCCACCAUCUCCCUCUCAUGUGGUGUGAGGGGCCAUGAACGCAAUGAGGGGAUGAUGUGAGGGCCAUGGCGACCCCUUAAUGUUCUCUGCAGAUCCCAGUCUGCAAGAACGCCACAAGGUGCAGACCUUUCUCCACAGAAAGGGUGAUUAGACAUUGGAACGCGCUGCACAGGGACGUGGCAGAGUCCCUGUCCCUCAAGGAACGACUGA
Molecule: long non-coding RNA, 6488 nt
Filed under: Taeniopygia guttata (zebra finch)
Lineage: Eukaryota; Metazoa; Chordata; Aves; Passeriformes; Estrildidae
Description: lncRNA (ENSTGUG00000029385.1)
Source: RNAcentral